AAAUUGAAGAGUUUGAUCAUGGCUCAGAUUGAACGCUGGCGGCAGGCCUAACACAUGCAAGUCGAACGGUAACAGGAAGCAGCUUGCUGCUUUGCUGACGAGUGGCGGACGGGUGAGUAAUGUCUGGGAAACUGCCUGAUGGAGGGGGAUAACUACUGGAAACGGUGGCUAAUACCGCAUAACGUCGCAAGACCAAAGAGGGGGACCUUCGGGCCUCUUGCCAUCAGAUGUGCCCAGAUGGGAUUAGCUUGUUGGUGAGGUAACGGCUCACCAAGGCGACGAUCCCUAGCUGGUCUGAGAGGAUGACCAGCCACACUGGAACUGAGACACGGUCCAGACUCCUACGGGAGGCAGCAGUGGGGAAUAUUGCACAAUGGGCGCAAGCCUGAUGCAGCCAUGCCGCGUGUAUGAAGAAGGCCUUCGGGUUGUAAAGUACUUUCAGCGGGGAGGAAGGUGUUGUGGUUAAUAACCGCAGCAAUUGACGUUACCCGCAGAAGAAGCACCGGCUAACUCCGUGCCAGCAGCCGCGGUAAUACGGAGGGUGCAAGCGUUAAUCGGAAUUACUGGGCGUAAAGCGCACGCAGGCGGUCUGUCAAGUCGGAUGUGAAAUCCCCGGGCUCAACCUGGGAACUGCAUUCGAAACUGGCAGGCUUGAGUCUUGUAGAGGGGGGUAGAAUUCCAGGUGUAGCGGUGAAAUGCGUAGAGAUCUGGAGGAAUACCGGUGGCGAAGGCGGCCCCCUGGACAAAGACUGACGCUCAGGUGCGAAAGCGUGGGGAGCAAACAGGAUUAGAUACCACGGUAGUCCACGCCGUAAACGAUGUCUACUUGGAGGUUGUGCCCUUGAGGCGUGGCUUCCGGAGCUAACGCGUUAAGUAGACCGCACGGGGAGUACGGCCGCAAGGUUAAAACUCAAAUGAAUUGACGGGGGCCCGCACAAGCGGUGGAGCAUGUGGUUUAAUUCGAUGCAACGCGAAGAACCUUACCUGGUCUUGACAUCCACAGAACUUUCCAGAGAUGGAUUGGUGCCUUCGGGAACUGUGAGACAGGUGCUGCAUGGCUGUCGUCAGCUCGUGUUGUGAAAUGUUGGGUUAAGUCCCGCAACGAGCGCAACCCUUAUCCUUUGUUGCCAGCGAUUAGGUCGGGAACUCAAAGGAGACUGCCAGUGAUAAACUGGAGGAAGGUGGGGAUGACGUCAAGUCAUCAUGGCCCUUACGACCAGGGCUACACACGUGCUACAAUGGCGCAUACAAAGAGAAGCGACCUCGCGAGAGCAAGCGGACCUCAUAAAGUGCGUCGUAGUCCGGAUUGGAGUCUGCAACUCGACUCCAUGAAGUCGGAAUCGCUAGUAAUCGUGGAUCAGAAUGCCACGGUGAAUACGUUCCCGGGCCUUGUACACACCGCCCGUCACACCAUGGGAGUGGGUUGCAAAAGAAGUAGGUAGCUUAACCUUCGGGAGGGCGCUUACCACUUUGUGAUUCAUGACUGGGGUGAAGUCGUAACAAGGUAACCGUAGGGGAACCUGCGGUUGGAUCACCUCCUUACCUUAAAGAA
This 1552-nucleotide ribosomal RNA is filed under the name Salmonella enterica subsp. enterica serovar Indiana. RNAcentral describes it as "bacterial SSU rRNA". It matches the Rfam family "Bacterial small subunit ribosomal RNA". Lineage: Bacteria; Pseudomonadati; Pseudomonadota; Gammaproteobacteria; Enterobacterales; Enterobacteriaceae. The record is from RNAcentral.